This 431-nucleotide ribosomal RNA is filed under the name uncultured bacterium. Its description in RNAcentral is "bacterial SSU rRNA". It matches the Rfam family "Bacterial small subunit ribosomal RNA", at positions 29 to 507 of the family's 1533-position model. The record is from RNAcentral.
AAUAAACGCUGGCGGCGUGCCUAACACAUGCAAGUCGAGCGCCCCGCAAGGGGAGCGGCGGACGGGUGAGUAACACGUGGGAAUUUUCCUCAAGGUACGGAACAACUCAGGGAAACUUGGGCUAAUACCGUAUGAUGCAGAGAUGCCAAAGAUUUAUCGCCUUGGGAUAAGCCCGCGUCAGAUUAGGUAGUUGGUGGGGUAAUGGCCUACCAAGCCUGUGAUCUGUAGCUGGUCUGAGAGGACGAUCAGCCACAUUGGGACUGAGACACGGCCCAAACUCCUACGGGAGGCAGCAGUGGGGAAUCUUGCGCAAUGGACGAAAGUCUGACGCAGCCAUGCCGCGUGAAUGAUGAAGGUCUUAGGAUUGUAAAGUUCUUUAGCCUGUGACGAUGAUGACGGUAACAGGAGAAUAAGCCCCGGCUAACUUCGUG